Molecule: long non-coding RNA, 302 nt
Organism: Fukomys damarensis (Damara mole-rat)
Lineage: Eukaryota; Metazoa; Chordata; Mammalia; Rodentia; Bathyergidae
Exons: 3
Source: RefSeq, a predicted model, not a curated record
CCCAGGGUCAGCAGACACUUGCUUCAGGUUCUUCACCGUCACCUGACUUAAUGCUUGCAUCAUCUUUCUGGGUUGAAAGAAAUUUAUAUGCCAGAAGUGUUUAACUACCAGGAGUAGGCCUGCUGUCAGAGGCCUGGCCAGAGGUGGAAGAAUGUCUGAGUUCCAGCGGCCCAUCCCCACUGGACCUCAGGGAGGAAGCGAGAUUUACGAGGGCUGCGAUUAGCAUCAUCACUCCCAGCACCACCCGAAGGCCCUGGCAGGCCAUAAGGUACAGAAGAGGAUCUCACAGCAAUGGUUUGUGG